CCUACGGGUGGCUGCAGUAGGGAAUCUUCCACAAUGGGCGCAAGCCUGAUGGAGCAACACCGCGUGAGUGAAGAAGGGUUUCGGCUCGUAAAGCUCUGUUGUUGGAGAAGAACGUGCGUGAGAGUAACUGUUCACGCAGUGACGGUAUCCAACCAGAAAGGCACGGCUAACUACGUGCCAGCCGCCGCGGUAAUACGUAGGUGUCAAGCGUUAUCCGGAUUUAUUGGGCGUAAAGCGAGCGCAGGCGGUUGCUUAGGUCUGAUGUGAAAGCCGUCGGCUUAACUGAGGAAGUGCCUCGGAGACCGGACGACUUGAGUGCAGAAGAGGUCGGUGGAACGCAAGGUGUAGCGGUGGAAUGCUUAGAGAUAUGGAAGAACACCAGUGGCGAAGGCGGCUGUCUGGUCUGCAACUGACGCUGAGGCUCGAAAGCAUGGGUAGCGAACAGGAUUAGAUACCCCGGUAGUC
RNAcentral lists this ribosomal RNA (465 nucleotides) under uncultured bacterium. RNAcentral's name for it is "partial 16S ribosomal RNA". It matches the Rfam family "Bacterial small subunit ribosomal RNA", at positions 338 to 795 of the family's 1533-position model. The record is from RNAcentral.